GAUGAACGCUGGCGGCGUGCCUAAUACAUGCAAGUCGAGCGAACAGACGAGGAGCUUGCUCCUCUGACGUUAGCGGCGGACGGGUGAGUAACACGUGGAUAACCUACCUAUAAGACUGGGAUAACUUCGGGAAACCGGAGCUAAUACCGGAUAAUAUAUUGAACCGCAUGGUUCAAUAGUGAAAGACGGUUUUGCUGUCACUUAUAGAUGGAUCCGCGCCGCAUUAGCUAGUUGGUAAGGUAACGGCUUACCAAGGCAACGAUGCGUAGCCGACCUGAGAGGGUGAUCGGCCACACUGGAACUGAGACGCGGUCCAGCCUCCUACGGGAGGCAGCAGUAGGGAAUCUUCCGCAAUGGGCGAAAGCCUGACGGAGCAACGCCGCGUGAGUGAUGAAGGUCUUCGGAUCGUAAAACUCUGUUAUUAGGGAAGAACAAAUGUGUAAGUAACUAUGCACGUCUUGACGGUACCUAAUCAGAAAGCCACGGCUAACUACGUG
Molecule: ribosomal RNA, 497 nt
Filed under: uncultured bacterium
Lineage: Bacteria
Description: partial 16S ribosomal RNA
Rfam family: Bacterial small subunit ribosomal RNA
Source: RNAcentral